RNAcentral lists this ribosomal RNA (179 nucleotides) under Ruellia proxima. RNAcentral describes it as "5.8S ribosomal RNA". The stretch from base 1 to 146 matches the Rfam family "5.8S ribosomal RNA". Rfam says of the family: 5.8S ribosomal RNA (5.8S rRNA) is a component of the large subunit of the eukaryotic ribosome. Lineage: Eukaryota; Viridiplantae; Streptophyta; Magnoliopsida; Lamiales; Acanthaceae. The record is from RNAcentral.
AACGGAUAUCUCGGCUCUCGCAUCGAUGAAGAACGUAGCGAAAUGCGAUACUUGGUGUGAAUUGCAGAAUCCCGUGAACCAUCGAGUCUUUGAACGCAAGUUGCGCCCGAAGCCUUCGGGCCGAGGGCACGCCUGCCUGGGCGUCACGCAUCGCGUCGCCCCCCCAACUCCGCUCGAAC